CUACGGGUUGCAGCAGUGAGGAAUAUUGCACAAUGGGGGGAACCCUGAUGCAGCAACGCCGCGUGGAGGAUGACGCAUUUCGGUGUGUAAACUCCUUUUAUAUGUCAAGAAAAUGACGGUAGCAUAUGAAUAAGCACCGGCUAACUCCGUGCCAGCAGCCGCGGUAAUACGGAGGGUGCAAGCGUUACUCGGAAUCACUGGGCGUAAAGGACGCGUAGGCGGGUUGGAAAGUCAGGUGUGAAAUCCUACAGCUUAACUGUAGAACUGCACUUGAAACUUCUAAUCUAGAGGAUGGGAGGGGGAGAUGGAAUUAGUGGUGUAGGGGUAAAAUCCGUAGAUAUCACUAGGAAUACCUAAAGCGAAGGCGAUCUCCUGGAACAUUACUGACGCUAAGGCGUGGAAGCGUGGGGAGCAAACAGGAUUAGAUACCCCUGUAGUC
RNAcentral lists this ribosomal RNA (439 nucleotides) under uncultured bacterium. Its description in RNAcentral is "partial 16S ribosomal RNA". It matches the Rfam family "Bacterial small subunit ribosomal RNA", at positions 339 to 795 of the family's 1533-position model. The record is from RNAcentral.